GCUCUGUACAAAGAUUUUAAAGCCACUGUAAAUUUUCCUGAAUGCGUUGUAACAAUAACAUUUUUGUUAAUUCACAGAAAAUGACGGGGUUUUUUUUCACAUUUCUUUAUACUGUUACUUUUUUGUUUUGCUGAGGUUAAAACGAUGCCACCUUAAAUGAAACUGAAAAAUAAUAUUGUUGAGUCUGUGUUUCCACAGGCCCCGCUAGUUUAGAGACUUAUUCCUCAUGAAGAACAAAACCAAGAAAGAACAUCUUCAACCAGUCUUUUACUUGCUAACGAGGGAGAGCUUGGUCAUACGUGUGUGUGUGUGUGUGUGUGUGUGUGUGUGUGUGUGUGUGUGUGUGUGUGUGUGUGUGUGUUGUAUCCUGUAUUGGUUCAGCAUACACAACACAGGUGAAGCCAUAACAGGGCAGGAAGCUUAUCAAACAACAAACAAACCUUCACAAGGGAUGUGCUUGUGUCACCAUCGACAUGCUGGGGAGGGGGACAAAGGAAUGCCUUUGACCACAGUGUUUGAAACAAUGUAGAGAUGGUAAGCAUAAAAAUGACAACUUUUAACAAUUCACUUUAACAAAUAUGUCACGUGAUGCCAGGGCAAGCCGUGUGAAUUACUAAAGGACCCAAAAUGCAGGUGGCUUCUGAGGUGAGCGAGAUUUAUUGUGACAGUGAUGUACAACACAAAAGAAAGGGUGGCGAGAAACAGAACUGAAAACACUCUAAACUGGGAAAACUAAAACAACAAAACCUGAACAUGAAUGAGGGAGAACAACGUGGGGAGAAGAUGGAGGAAAAUACACAGAAUGACGGAGGGGAAUAACACAGAUGAACCAGCAACAAGGACGAGGGAACACACACUAUAAAUACACACACCAGUAUUCAGGGGAUGGGAAACAGGAGGGAAACACACCAGGGAGACAUAACAGCUGACGAGGCAGGGAAAAAUAAACAGAACACACUGACAUCAGACAGAGACCUUCAAAGUAAAACAGGAAACACACCGACUGAACACAACACACACCAACUAAACACAGACUGGGGGACACAGACAUAGGAACAAGAAACGUGAAACAGGAGAGUACAAAAACCCAAGAUAACCAAAACCACAGAAUAAUAAUAAACUUAACAUAAACACGGAGUCACAGACUCCGGACCAUGACAAAAUAUUGUAAUUGAAAUGUAUUGAACAUUUGUCUUGAUGUUAAAAAAAAAGAUUAAUUGAAACUGUAAAUAUUGACAUUAAAACAAAAAAACUCAUAACUAAGUUUUCACAAUUACAUCUUUUUUUUCGCUUACAGAUUUGUUUUUUCAGUUUCCAUUUGCUGGCAUUCUCACAGACUCUGUAAACAGUGAGUUUUCAAGCUUUUCUAAUGCUGUGUGUGAGCAGCAGGAAAAUACAGUCAGAGCACAAACAUACAUACAUGGUCAAACAUACAAAACAAGUAGCUACACUUUUUAAACACAACUCAGACGAAGAAAUAACUGAUCACUGAUGUGAAGUCAGGGAGUAUCGAGGUAAACUUUUCUUAUCUUUGAGAACUACUGAAACAACUACCAAUGACAUUAAAUUGUACUGCUGAGUGACAAAUGUACAUGUAGUAAAUACAUUACAGGGUUACCCAAGCGACCAGGAAUGCCUAUAACCAUCUGUCAGCAGCAAAGUGAUGCAUGAAGGAUGGAAUCAGUUUAUACUUGGAUGUAAUUUUAUUGAAACAGCUGAUUGAGGAUUAGUGUUGUUGAAGUUUUGUGGUCCAAAGCUCACACUCACAUAAUGAGGUCAUAUUUGAUCUUAUAAACAAAAACACUGAUCCCAGGUCUGUGACACUGUUCAUGGAUACUGAGGGUAAACAAACCACACAGCUCACAAAGAUAAAGAGAAACUGAAAUCAGAUCUUGAUUGAAACAUUCAGGUGUGAAAAUAUUUCAUGUUCAAGUGUUGCCUUCAUUUGUUUGAAGAUGUAAAAGUUCUUUUUGCUGACAGCAGUUGUAGAGAGCUGUCUCUGACUGCAGUUUCAGGUUUAGUUGAGCCAGCUAACACAAAGACAGUCUGACUGUGUUGAAGCUGAUUUGUAGUCACAGCCCUCUGGAUGUUCCAGUGAACUACAGAGCGGAAAUGUAAAGACUGUUUUUAAAGAUGAAACUCUUCCACUGAGAUGAGCUGUCAGCAAAAACAGAAGCAGCCGUUAAAGAUAAAAAUGAAAUAAACCUACAGUACUGUGGGCCUGCUGUCUGUGCUCAGUUCAUCUGUUUCUGCAGAUUUUAAACACUGACAACACCCAGAACUGUGAACAGCAGCAGCAGAAUCAACGCUGGAAAAACCUCUGAGAGAUUUAAACCUGCUGCACUUCAACAGGAGGCUGAUUUGUUUCUACACUCUGUUGUUGUUUACGUUUGUAGAUCAAAAAACCAACAACAGCAACAACAACAAGAAGCACAGCAGAAACUGACAGACCAACUUUCAGUCCAGUCAAACUGCUGUCAGACAUUAUCUACUGCACUCUGAUCACAUCACUCAGACCAGCUGCUUUCUACAAAGUCUCAUCAACAACAUCUUUAGAAACAAACAUCAACAACCAGGAAGCAGCUUCACCUCUGAUCACACACACACUCAACUCUACUCACACACCUGGAGGAACAACAUGAAGGUGGAUGAUGCUGACACCCAGAUUAGCUCCCUUCCUGCGGUUUGUUCCUGUUGUGAUUACACGACACUCGUAUGUUCCAGCAUCAUUAAUCGUCACAUUCUUCAGAAUCAGAGACACGUCUCCAUCCUUCAUCUGUCUGUCCUGCAGAUCCACCCGGUUCUUAAAAGAUGGAUGCUGGUCGUCUGGAUCAAAACGAUCAUUGUGGUACAAAAGCACAUUUUCAUCUCCCAGGUCAGCUCUGCUCCACUCUAAAACUGUGAUGUUGUUGUUUGGACCUCGACAUGUCAGAGUGACGUCCUGUCCAGACUCAGCUGUGAUGGUUUUCUGC
This is a long non-coding RNA of Oreochromis aureus, 2972 nucleotides long. The record is from Ensembl. NCBI's taxonomy places the organism in Eukaryota, Metazoa, Chordata, Actinopteri, Cichliformes, Cichlidae.